Molecule: ribosomal RNA, 374 nt
Filed under: uncultured bacterium
Lineage: Bacteria
Description: bacterial SSU rRNA
Rfam family: Bacterial small subunit ribosomal RNA
Source: RNAcentral
UACGAAGGGGGCUAGCGUUGUUCGGAAUUACUGGGCGUAAAGCGCGCGCAGGCGGUUUCUCAAGUCAGUGGUGAAAGCCCGGAGCUCAACUCCGGAACUGCCAUUGAAACUGUGAAACUUGAGGACGAGAGAGGUGAGUGGAAUUCCCAGUGUAGAGGUGAAAUUCGUAGAUAUUGGGAAGAACACCGGUGGCGAAGGCGGCUCACUGGCUCGUUUCUGACGCUCAGGCGCGACAGCGUGGGGAUCAAACAGGAUUAGAUACCCUGGUAGUCCACGCCGUAAACGAUGAACGCUAGCCGUUGGGUAGCUUGCUAUUCAGUGGCGCAGCUAACGCAUUAAGCGUUCCGCCUGGGGAGUACGGCCGCAAGGUUGAA